CUCCUUUAGAGUUUGGAUCCUGGCUCAGAUUGAACGCUGGCGGCAGGCCUAACACAUGCAAGUCGAGCGGAAACGAGUUAUCUGAACCUUCGGGGAACGAUAACGGCGUCGAGCGGCGGACGGGUGAGUAAUGCCUAGGAAAUUGCCUUGAUGUGGGGGAUAACCAUUGGAAACGAUGGCUAAUACCGCAUAAUGCCUACGGGCCAAAGAGGGGGACCUUCGGGCCUCUCGCGUCAAGAUAUGCCUAGGUGGGAUUAGCUAGUUGGUGAGGUAAUGGCUCACCAAGGCGACGAUCCCUAGCUGGUCUGAGAGGAUGAUCAGCCACACUGGAACUGAGACACGGUCCAGACUCCUACGGGAGGCAGCAGUGGGGAAUAUUGCACAAUGGGCGCAAGCCUGAUGCAGCCAUGCCGCGUGUAUGAAGAAGGCCUUCGGGUUGUAAAGUACUUUCAGCAGUGAGGAAGGGGGUGUCGUUAAUAGCGGCAUCUCUGACUA
RNAcentral lists this ribosomal RNA (495 nucleotides) under Vibrio pelagius. RNAcentral's name for it is "bacterial SSU rRNA". It matches the Rfam family "Bacterial small subunit ribosomal RNA", at positions 1 to 475 of the family's 1533-position model. The record is from RNAcentral. Lineage: Bacteria; Pseudomonadati; Pseudomonadota; Gammaproteobacteria; Vibrionales; Vibrionaceae.